CACUGCUGUCCCUGACUGUGAUGUGCUUCACGUUUCGGAUUCAUGCCAUCAGGCUUAUGACUACAGGACACAUUAAACUAUCAGAUCCCAUGAUAACUGGGAGAAAUCUCUACUUUAGAGCUAAAAUCCUUCACCUCACUAUGCAAUGAAGAGCUUAGACAUUUCCUAUGAGAGCCAGGCCCAGCUGCAGUUGAAAUCACGCAUUUCGUACAAGGCUGACCCCCCACCGUAUUUCUGAGG
Long non-coding RNA from Cervus elaphus (red deer), 240 nucleotides. RefSeq lists it as uncharacterized. NCBI's taxonomy places the organism in Eukaryota, Metazoa, Chordata, Mammalia, Artiodactyla, Cervidae. The record is from RefSeq and is a predicted model, not a curated record. The transcript has 3 exons.